RNAcentral lists this ribosomal RNA (443 nucleotides) under uncultured bacterium. RNAcentral's name for it is "partial 16S ribosomal RNA". It matches the Rfam family "Bacterial small subunit ribosomal RNA", at positions 338 to 795 of the family's 1533-position model. The record is from RNAcentral.
CCUACGGGUGGCAGCAGUGGGGAAUAUUGGGCAAUGGGCGCAAGCCUGACCCAGCAACGCCGCGUGAAGGAAGAAGGCUUUCGGGUUGUAAACUCCUUUUCUCAGGGACGAAGCAAGUGAUGGUACCAGAGGAAUAAGCCACGGCUAACUACGGGCCAGCAGCCGUGGUAAUAAGUAGGUGGCAAGCGUCAUCCGGAUUUACUGGGUGUAAAGGGGGUGUAGGCGGGGACGCAAGUCAGAUGUGAAAGCCACGGGCUCAACCUGUGGACUGAAUUUGAAACUGUGUUUCUGGAAUACUGGAGAGGCAAAGGGAAUUCCUGGUGUAGCGGUGAAAUGCGUAGAUAUUAGGAGGAACAUCAGUGGCGAAGGCGGUCUACUGGACAGCAACUGACGCUGAGGCGCGAAAGCGUGGGGAGCAAACAGGAUUAGAUACCCGAGUAGUC